CCUACGGGUGGCAGCAGUGGGGGAUAUUGCACAAUGGGGGGAACCCUGAUGCAGCGACGCCGCGUGGGUGAAGAAGGGCCUCGGCGCGUAAAGCCCUUUCAGCAGGGAAGAAAAUGACGGUACCUGAAGAAGAAGCCCCGGCUAACUACGUGCCAGCAGCCGCGGUAAUACGGAGGAUGCGAGCGUUACCGGGAUUUAUUGGGUUUAAAGGGGGCGUAGGCGGAUCGUUAAGUCCGGGGUAAAAUUGCGGGGUUCAACCCCGACCCGCCAUUGAAACUGGCGUUCUUGAGUGUGAGAGAGGUAGGCGGAAUGCGUGGUGUAGCGGUGAAAUGCAUAGAUAUCACGCAGAACCCCGAUUGCGAAGGCAGCAUGCCGGCUUCCGACUGACGCUGAAGCACGAAAGCGUGGGGAUCGAACAGGAUUAGAUACCCGGGUAGUC
RNAcentral lists this ribosomal RNA (439 nucleotides) under uncultured bacterium. RNAcentral's name for it is "partial 16S ribosomal RNA". It matches the Rfam family "Bacterial small subunit ribosomal RNA", at positions 338 to 795 of the family's 1533-position model. The record is from RNAcentral.